RNAcentral lists this transfer RNA (92 nucleotides) under mine drainage metagenome. RNAcentral's name for it is "tRNA-Ala". The record is from RNAcentral.
ACACGGUCGUCCUCGGUGGACGGGCGUCCUUGCGCGAUGCCGGCCACGCCGGACGCCAGCAGGAACCGACGGUUCGACCCGGCCAGCGCGUC